GCGGGAGGUACGGUAAGGAGGGUUUCUGCAGGUCGAGGUCCCGCACUAACGUCCCCUCCUUCAGCGCCUCCUUCAGCUGCUCCCAAGGAAACUCUGCAGGAACUGGGAAAGAAGAAGAAGCUUGGAGGAUUGAGGGCACUUGCAGAUGACGAGGUAGUGAGCCUUGCCCGUGCGGGUGUUCUGCAGGGCGAGGAUUGACCAGUCCCGAGGCGCCCUGCAGUCCCUUACACUCCAUACAGGCUCGCAGGUCUUAAUCACCGUUGUGGCCUGUAAUAGCCUACCUUGGUAUGCGGGCCGCCCAUGGACAGUUCAAUGGAGCGCUGGUCGUUGGACAGGAGGGAGGCGCUGCACGGGUCACUGCCUUUGGGACACUGGCAUAGGGGCUGCGUAAAGUUGAGCCGCCGGUACACUGCGUUGCACACCUGAGGGAAGGAUGAACAGGUGUGACGGACAGAGCGCCACCUCCGCCCUCUGCAUGCGCAUACUGUGCAGUCAACCCUUUGUCUAGUCACGCAGCCUCACGCAAGCACAGGUGGGGCGGCAAAGGCAGG
Molecule: long non-coding RNA, 551 nt
Organism: Eriocheir sinensis (Chinese mitten crab)
Lineage: Eukaryota; Metazoa; Arthropoda; Malacostraca; Decapoda; Varunidae
Exons: 4
Source: RefSeq, a predicted model, not a curated record